UACGAAGGGUGCAAGCGUUACUCGGAAUUACUGGGCGUAAAGGGUGCGUAGGUGGUCGUUUAAGUCCGUUGUGAAAUCCCUGGGCUCAACCUGGGAAUGGCAGUGGAUACUGGACGGCUGGAGUGCGGUAGAGGGUAGUGGAAUUCCCGGUGUAGCAGUGAAAUGCGUAGAGAUCGGGAGGAACACCAGUGGCGAAGGCGGCUACCUGGACCAGCACUGACACUGAAGCACGAAAGCGUGGGGAGCAAACAGGAUUAGAUACCCUGGUAGUCCACGCCCUAAACGAUGCGAACUGGACGUUGGGAGCAACUUGGCUCUCAGUGUCGAAGCUAACGCGUUAAGUUCGCCGCCUGGGGAGUACGGUCGCAAGACUGAAACUCAAAG
RNAcentral lists this ribosomal RNA (384 nucleotides) under uncultured bacterium. RNAcentral's name for it is "bacterial SSU rRNA". It matches the Rfam family "Bacterial small subunit ribosomal RNA", at positions 524 to 906 of the family's 1533-position model. The record is from RNAcentral.